Molecule: long non-coding RNA, 3350 nt
Filed under: Salmo salar (Atlantic salmon)
Lineage: Eukaryota; Metazoa; Chordata; Actinopteri; Salmoniformes; Salmonidae
Description: lncRNA (ENSSSAG00000082826.1)
Source: RNAcentral
UGGUAGUGAUUGGUUAUAGUUGAAAAAGUAGGCAGAUAAAAAGUUAGGAUACACCAAACCAACUUUUGUAUGUUCAGGGUAUCUAGCUUGAAUGGUUCAUGAGUUAAUGUUGGUGGGUUAUUUUAUGGAAAUGUAUGCACAUUUCCAUUGUUAUAGUUUUAAAGAAUUUGAUGUUGGGUUGUCGUCGGGAAUGGAGGACCAAAACGCAGCAGGAAUGUGGAUGCUCAUCUUGUAUUUCUUUUUAAAUCAAGAAAACACCAAAAUAACAAACAAAGAACUCACGAACAACAAAACAGUCUUGUCAGGCUCACACAGGCGAAACAAGAAACAAUCUCCUACAAACACUAAACCAAACACAUACCCAUAUAUAGGACUCCCAAUCAGAGGCAACGAGAAGGCACCUGCCUCCAAUUGAGAGUCCAACCCCAAUAAACCAGACAUAGAAAUACAAAAGACCAGAGACCACAUAGAAAUACAAACAUAGAACAUUACCCAAAAACCCAGAAAUAAUUAAUCAAACGCCCUACUAAAUAAAACAACACCCCGAACCACAUAAAACAAAUACCCUUCUGCCGCGUCCUGAACAAACUACAAUAACAAAUAACCCUUAUACUGGUCAGGACGUGACAUUAGGAUAGCCUGAACAUGUGAAAGUUGGUGCUAUUGUCUGCAGUAGUAAUGGUCACUGGUUAGAGUUGAAAAAAUAGGUAUAUUAAAAUAUUGAUUGAUAGGAUAGCUUGAACAAGUGAACGUUGGUUUGGUGUCUCUAGCUUGAACGGUUCAAGAGCUACAAUUAUUUUUGGUGGAUAUUAUAUGCUAAUUUAUGCUACUUUAAGUAAUUAUAUUUUAAUUUAUAGUGCAUACCAGAGCUAGCUAGCUGCGCCCAGGACCAGAGCUGGACCAGAGCUAGUGCAGACCAGAGCUAGCUAGCUGCGCCCAGGACCAGAGCUAGUGCAGUAGUAGAGGACCAGAGCUAGUGCAGUAGUUGUGGUCAGUAGCUGUGGUCAGUAGUUGUGUGGUUGUGGUCAGUAGCUGUGGUCAGUAGCUGUGUGGUUGUGGUCAGUAGUUGUGUGGUUGUGGUCAGUAGCUGUGGUCAGUAGUUGUGGUCAGUAGUUGUGGUCAGUAGUUGUGUGGUUGUGGUCAGUAGUUCUGGUCAGUAGUUGUGUGGUUGUGGUCAGUAGCUGUGCAUGGUAGCUGUGGUCAGUAGAUGUGGUCAGUAGCUGUGGUCAGUAGUUGUGUGGUUGUGGUCAGUAGCUGUGGUCAGUAGUUGUGUGGUUGUGGUCAGUAGUUGUGUGGUUGUGGUCUGUAGCUGUGGUCAGUAGUUGUGUGGUUGUGGUCUGUAGCUGUGGUCAGUAGUUGUGUGGUUGUGCAUGGUAGCUGUGGUCAGUAGAUGUGGUCAGUAGCUGUGGUCUGUAGCUGUGUGGUUUAGUUGUGGUCAGUAGUUGUGUGGUUGUGGUCAGUAGUUGUGGUCAGUAGCUGUGGUCAGUAGUUGUGGUUCAGUAGUUACAUUUACAUUACAUUUUAGUCAUUUAGCAGACGCUCUUAUCCAGAGCGACUUACAGUAGUGAAUGCAUACAUUUCAUUUCAUACAUUUUUUUUUUUCCUGUGCUGGCCCCCCGUGGGAAUCGAACCCACAACCCUGGCGUUGCAAACACCAUGCUCUACCAACUGAGCUACAGGGAAGGCUAGUUGUGUGGUUGUGGUCAGUAGUUGUGGUCAGUAGUUGUGGUCAGUAGUUGUGGUCAGUAGCUGUGGCCAGUAGAUGUGGUAUGUAGCUGUGAUCAAUAGUUGUGGUAUGUAGUGGUCAGUAGCUGUGGUCAGUAGCUGUGGUCAGUAGUUGUGGUCAGUAGUUGUGGUAUGUAGUGAUCAGUAGUUGUGGUCAGUAGUUGUGGUAUGUAGUGGUCAGUAGUUGUGGUCAGUAGCUGUGGUCAGUAGUUGUGGUAUGUAGUGGUCAGUAGUUGUGGUAUGUAGUGGUCAGUAGUUGUGGUCAGUAGUUGUGGUCAGUAGCUGUGGUCAGUAGUUGUGGUAUGUAGUGGUCAGUAGUUGUGGUAUGUAGUGGUCAGUAGUUGUGGUCAGUAGUUGUGGUCAGUAGUUGUGGUAUGUAGUGGUCAGUAGUUGUGGUAUGUAGUGGUCAGUAGUUGUGGUCAGUAGUUGUGGUCAGUAGUUGUGGUAUGUAGUGGUCAGUAGUGGUCAGUAGUUGUGGUCAGUAGUUGUGGUCGGCAGCUGUGGUCAGUAGUUGUGGUAUGUAGUGGUCAGUAGUUGUGGUAUGUAGUGGUCAGUAGUUGUGGUCAGUAGUUGUGGUAUGUAGUGGUCAGUAGUGAUCAGUAGUUGUGGUCAGUAGUUGUGGUCAGUAGUUGUGGUAUGUAGUGGUCAGUAGUUGUGGUCAGUAGCUGUGGUCAGUAGUUGUGGUAUGCAGUGGUGAGUAGUUGUGGUAUGUAGUGGUCAGUAGUGAUCAGUAGUUGUGGUCAGUAGUUGUGGUAUGUAGUGGUCAGUAGUUGUGGUCAGUAGUUGUGGUAUGUAGUGGUCAGUAGUUGUGGUCAGUAGAUGUGGUCAGUAGCUGUGGUCAGUAGUUGUGGUUAGUAGUUGUGGUAUGUGGUGGUCAGUAGUUGUGGUAUGUAGUGGUCAGUAGUUGUGGUAUGUAGUGGUCAGUAGUUGUGGUAUCAGUAGUUGUGGUAUGUAGUGGUCAGUAGUUGUGGUUUGUAGUGGUCAGUAGUUGUUGUCAGUAGUUGUGGUCAGUAGUUGUGGUAUGUAGUGGUCAGUAGUUGUGGUUUGUAGUGGUCAGUAGUUGUUGUCAGUAGUUGUGGUCAGUAGUUGUGGUAUGUAGUGGUCAGUAGUUGUGGUCAGUAGUUGUGGUAUGUAGUGGUCAGUAGUUGUGGUUUGUAGUGGUCAGUAGUUGUUGUCAGUAGUUGUGGUCAGUAGUUGUGGUAUGUAGUGGUCAGUAGUUGUGGUCAGUAGUUGUGGUAUGUAGUGGUCAGUAGUUGUGGUUUGUAGUGGUCAGUAGUUGUUGUCAGUAGUUGUGGUCAGUAGUUGUGAAUGGCAAGAAUAGCUAACAGGCAUAUUUGAAUAACAAAUAUAAAGUGGAUGAAGAUGUCAUACAUGUCAUACUCCAUUAUUAUUGUUCAGCAAAUGAUGACUCCUGAAUGUAUUUAGGCCAUAACAAAGGGGUUGAAUACUUAUUGACUCAAGACAUUUCAACUUAAAGUGUUUUAUUACAUUUGUAAAAAUUGCAACAACAAAAAACACACUGAACAAACAUAUAAACGCAACACGUAAAGUGCUGGUCCCAUGUUUCAUCAGCUGAAAUAAAAGAUCCCAGAAAUAUUCCACAAAAAGCUCAUUUUGUGAACACA